CAGCUGUUAAGAGGCAAGCGUGCAGCCCUCCUCCUUCCCUUCCACCUCCGGGCAUCGUCAACCACUGCAACCUGAGUCCCUUUCCGGCAGACAGGUCCUUCGUUCGGUCUCCAGGUUCCCUCUCCACCAUCACCAAUGUCUAGGCUCCAUCGAGGGGAAUAUGUCUGGCUUCUAUACCCCUUUAAAAUAUUUUUAAUGAUGGAGUCUAAUCCCCAAAGACUCUAGGAGGGUGACCAUCUUGU
This is a long non-coding RNA of Sander lucioperca (pikeperch), 242 nucleotides long. RefSeq lists it as uncharacterized. The record is from RefSeq and is a predicted model, not a curated record. The transcript is spliced from 4 exons. Lineage: Eukaryota; Metazoa; Chordata; Actinopteri; Perciformes; Percidae.